RNAcentral lists this ribosomal RNA (700 nucleotides) under uncultured Pseudomonas sp. Its description in RNAcentral is "bacterial SSU rRNA". It matches the Rfam family "Bacterial small subunit ribosomal RNA", at positions 28 to 717 of the family's 1533-position model. The record is from RNAcentral. Lineage: Bacteria; Pseudomonadati; Pseudomonadota; Gammaproteobacteria; Pseudomonadales; Pseudomonadaceae.
AUUGAACGCUGGCGGCAGGCUUAACACAUGCAAGUCGAGCGGUAGCACAAGGGAGCUUGCUCCCUGGGUGACGAGCGGCGGACGGGUGAGUAAUGUCUGGGAAACUGCCUGAUGGAGGGGGAUAACUACUGGAAACGGUAGCUAAUACCGCAUAACGUCGCAAGACCAAAGAGGGGGACCUUCGGGCCUCUUGCCAUCAGAUGUGCCCAGAUGGGAUUAGCUAGUAGGUGGGGUAAUGGCUCACCUAGGCGACGAUCCCUAGCUGGUCUGAGAGGAUGACCAGCCACACUGGAACUGAGACACGGUCCAGACUCCUACGGGAGGCAGCAGUGGGGAAUAUUGCACAAUGGGCGCAAGCCUGAUGCAGCCAUGCCGCGUGUGUGAAGAAGGCCUUCGGGUUGUAAAGCACUUUCAGCGAGGAGGAAGGUGGUGAGCUUAAUACGCUCAUCAAUUGACGUUACUCGCAGAAGAAGCACCGGCUAACUCCGUGCCAGCAGCCGCGGUAAUACGGAGGGUGCAAGCGUUAAUCGGAAUUACUGGGCGUAAAGCGCACGCAGGCGGUUGGAUAAGUUAGAUGUGAAAGCCCCGGGCUCAACCUGGGAAUUGCAUUUAAAACUGUCCAGCUAGAGUCUUGUAGAGGGGGGUAGAAUUCCAGGUGUAGCGGUGAAAUGCGUAGAGAUCUGGAGGAAUACCGGUGGCG